This 270-nucleotide signal recognition particle RNA is filed under the name Phascolarctos cinereus (koala). RNAcentral describes it as "Metazoan signal recognition particle RNA (ENSPCIG00000000941.2)". It matches the Rfam family "Metazoan signal recognition particle RNA". Rfam says of the family: The signal recognition particle (SRP) is a universally conserved ribonucleoprotein. The record is from RNAcentral. Lineage: Eukaryota; Metazoa; Chordata; Mammalia; Diprotodontia; Phascolarctidae.
GCUGGGGCUGGUGGUGCCUGCUUGUAAUCCCCACUACUGGGGAGUCACUUGAACUCAGGACUUCUGAGAAACAGUGGACUAAGUUGAUUGGGUGUCUGCAUUAAGUUUGGUACCAGUAUGCUGAUUCACUGGAAGUAGGGGCCCCCCAGGAUACCUAAGGAGGGGCAAACUGGCCCAGGAUGGAAAUGGGACAUGUGAAGGGUCCUCUUCUUAUCAGUAGUGUGAUUGGGACCAUGAGUAGCCCUUAUACUUUCAGCCUGUGUAAAAUAU